This is a non-coding RNA of Myotis davidii, 81 nucleotides long. NCBI's taxonomy places the organism in Eukaryota, Metazoa, Chordata, Mammalia, Chiroptera, Vespertilionidae. The record is from Rfam.
AGACCCAGAGAGAGAGGCAGGGUCUGAUCCACAGCCUCAGUGGCAGCUGUUGAUCAGUACUUCCCUCUCUCUUUCUCUCCC